AUUCUGUUUUGGGAGUGUUUUUUAUGUAUCUGUAUUAUAUUAUACAUACACAUUAAAAGUGAAUCUCUGGCCAAAACAUGCACUCAGUUUACUUCUUACUCACUAUGAGCAUCAUUUAAAUAACCUUUAUCAGAUUUGAUGGUUUUGUUACAGACUUCUCAAAAAAGUGUUUUGCUUUUCUUUCACAAAUGUGGGGAUUAAAUUGUGUUAAAAUGUACAAAACGGUGAUGUCAUGUUUUGAGACGAGGACCCAGGCACAGAGAGACUUGAUGAAUUUAAGAAUCUUAUGAUUUAAUAAAGAAAUUUGCAGACUUGCACAGAGAUGGUAAAAUUAUGAUGACUGAUAAUGGAGAUGAAGACAACAGAUGAUGACGACAGGGAGGAACAGGGGUUUAAAUGCACCAAGGAGACAAUCAGAGAGAACUUGGGACAACUGGAGACAUUUAAGGAUGCAGGGACUGACAGAGACAGGGAAGAAGUCUCAUCGUGACGUGUAAAGUUUAUCUUGCCUGGCUGGGCAGCUCUCUGGGUGCUCAGCACCCCCAAAGCUCUGAUCCUAGAAUCGCCCCUGAUUCACCUUCACUUUUAAGGUCAGUAUUCACUCAGAUCUGCCAGUGACAGUGAUGGAAGAGCAACACCUCCACCUGUUAAAUACAUUAAAUGGAAUGGCUUUAUAAUACGGUGGGCGGUUCCAUGUCACUGUGAUAGAUCUGGAUAGAUGAUGAAUAUUCAAGGUACACAAUAUUUUCCCUUCAUACAAUAAAAUAUUUCAGGUGUUAGAGGUCUUUGAAGUACACAUAGAGCAGGUGUAACUUGUCAGUUAUUAUGUCCUAAUAUUUUUUCCAGGAUUUCUCUCAAUUUUAGCAAUUCGGGUAAACGAUGCAUCAUUUGUCUGCACUCUGUAGUGAUGUCAUGUAGUGUGAUCCAGGAUUAAAUGAAACAAUUAGUUUUUAAACCAGUGUUGUUUUGUAAGUUUAGUGUUUUGUUAGUUUACACAUACUAAACCGUAGAGACAUUUGAAACCUGCUGUUCAUGAGGAUGCUAGUUAAAAUCCCGGUUCUGGUGUUUAUGUUUUCUGUAGCACAGAAAACCAACAACAGCAGCAACAAGAAUCACAGAAACACUCAGACCAGCGAUGAGUCCAACAGGUGCAACUGUGUCUCCUCCUGUCUGACCUGCAGCAGCCAAUUUGAGGUGUUCUCCCCUUGAGCCCAUGUUAAAAGGCUGGCUUCACUACACACCACAGAAAGAGAAACAGGACAAACCAGAAAACCAACAACAGCAGCAACAAGAAGCCCAGCAGGAACACUCAGACCAACAAUCAGUCCAACAGAUCCUCCUGUGUGACCUGCAGAUCCACCCGGUUCUUAAAAGAUGGAUGCUGACCAUCUGGAUCCAGCCGGUCAUCCCGGAAAAAAAGCACAUAAUUAUCUCCCAGGUCAGCUCUGUUCCUCUUCAUACCUUGCAUGAUUUUGUCUGAUGGAACUCGACAUGGUAGAACUACGUCCUGUCCAGGCUCAGCUGUGACGGUGUUCUGGGCUGAAACAGGAAACAACACAGAGCAGAGAGGUUAACGGUCAAAGUACAACUAUUCACUUCUACAUCAGCUAAUCAGAGAGAGAAGAGGGGAAAAAAAACCAAACUUCUUGUACUUUAUUUAAGAAGAAAGUUGCCAAACCUUUGAAUCUGUAAGUCAGAUCAGACUCUUGUUAUAUACAAGCAGUUUUCAGUUCUCUCUGGGUAGUUUGGCUUCCUCCAACAGUCAUGCAGUUUGUUGCACAGUAAGUAUUAAAUCAUAGAUUUUAAAGACAUUUUUCUGAAUCUGAUAAUCCGGCUCUUUGGAAAAGAGGAAGAAAUAAGCAGAUGUGGGACAUUCACUAAAAAGCAUAGAGGAUUUAUUUGUUUAUAUGGGGAAAAAGAGAAAGAAGUGGGUAUUGAGAAUGUCUCCUGUGGCUGCUGUGGAGGUGGAAGUAGAACAGAAGCCACUUGACAUUAAGGUUGGGCGAUGUGUGAAAUUUUUCCAGUCAACAAGGGCGACUUUUUAAAGGGUGGAACAACUGAUUUGCACAUUUAGAAUUUAUACGUUUUGUUUGGAGGGAAUAUUUUACCUUCUUCUCUUGUUUGUUUCAGUAUUAAUAUUAGAGUUGGAUGUCUCGAGAUCGGUCUUGGUCUCGAGACCGGUCUCGAGACCACUUUUACGUGGUCUUGGUCUCGACGGACUUUUGUCUUGGUCUCGGUCUUGGUCUCGACGGACUUUUGUCUUGGUCUUGUCUUGGUCUCGACGGACUUUUGUCUUGGUCUCGGUCUUGGUCUCGCUGUUUCGGUCUUCCGUUCUCAAAUCGACAUAGUGUUCGGGAGAUUUGGAGUCAACCAUCAACGGAGCGGGGGGGUGGCUUACUGGGCUUAAGCCUGGGUCAUUUUUUCAGAAGCAUGGGGUUUUUUGGAGUGUAAUUUGUUAGUUAGAUGCCUGGCUGACAACUGUAUAAAACAAAAACAACACACGAAGCACAGAGCGCACCGUCGUAAAUUCCCCCUAAUUUUGGUUUGAUCCGAGCUUGGACACUAGGCGACUGAGCACAGCACGCAUGUGAGCGAGGGGGGAGAAGCUGCUGCCUGCGAGUUUGCUGCAGACAGAGGAGAGCUUAAGUUCGACCAGGUACCAAAGCAAAUCAUUCGUACUGAACUAAUAAUGUAAAUAUGACGGUGUAUCACAAAAGAUUGAUAUCAAACUGAUCAGUUGGUUGCGUUACUUACUCUUCGAGUGAAUCAACAAAUGGAUCAAUAAAAAGCCGAACAACAAUGCUGAUUUUUUAGAAAGUCUUAGCUUACAUUUCAUAUUUUCAGUUGUUACCCUCCACGGCUAAACAAACUCUCUAAAUCGGUUUCAAUUGUGUACUGAUGAACACAACAAUGGACAUAAGGAGCUUCUUUCAAAGAAAAAACUCAGGUAGAUGUUAUUUUAUAUAUUAUGCUUUGUAUGUUGUUCAGUAUAUCUAUGCAAAACAAGAGGAAUUUCAAUACACAGCAUUAUAUUCACAGAUGAAACCAGAUAUUUACAUACACUUUAGGUAGAAAACAUAAAAACUAUUUUUUACUGUUAAACAUCAAUUUAGAGUAAACUUUUGUUUUAGAUAAAUAAAUGUUGAAAUAUCUUUUGAAUUAGUUAAAUGUCAGAAUAAAAAGAGGGAGCUGUC
Oreochromis aureus is the source of this 3194-nucleotide long non-coding RNA. The record is from Ensembl. Lineage: Eukaryota; Metazoa; Chordata; Actinopteri; Cichliformes; Cichlidae.